CCAUUGUUGAGUUGACGUUGAGCUAUACGCCAUCACUGGCAUACUAUGUAAAAACACAUUGUUCUCUUCUUUCAAUCCCCGAGAAAUACAAAAUAAAAAGGAAAAAUGAAAAUGGUGCCAAGAUUCCAGGUCCCAGGCUAGAACAGGCAAUCCUGCGACAGGGGUUCGCGCAUAUACAGCGGCAUGGCAUCAUCAUUUGUGGGCAAUUUUUUCAGUUAUAUUAUGUUAUUGACAGGUGGCAUAUCAAGCUCAGUGAUUCUACAGACUCGGGUAUUUUGGGGCGCGGGAUGCAUGAUAGGAUCUAUGAUGAACAGUGUAUUCAUUCACCAAUGAAGCAUGAGGCUCAGGAAAAGCUGAUCGAGCCACACAGACGGUCUUUCGUCUAUUGCGAAUUUGUUAUCAGUGGGCUUUGAAAUCUAUCUCGAAGGCUCCGAAAAGCUAAUAUUACUUUCGUGGCAAUCAACCCUUCCAGCCGCUCAUGAGACUGCGUACCAAACUGCUACCAAGGCAUUCUCCUCCUUGACCGGAAUUUUCGUCGCCUCUCCAGGGGUUUGCUUCAUCCCUUUUUUGUCGCUUCAGCAUGAAAUGAUCUCACGUA
RNAcentral lists this small RNA (598 nucleotides) under Histoplasma capsulatum. Its description in RNAcentral is "hypothetical RNA". RNAcentral also lists the same sequence under 1 other name. Lineage: Eukaryota; Fungi; Ascomycota; Eurotiomycetes; Onygenales; Ajellomycetaceae. The record is from RNAcentral.